UACAGAGGGGGCAAGCGUUGUUCGGAAUUACUGGGCGUAAAGGGCGCGUAGGCGGCCUGCUAAGUCGAACGUGAAAUCCCCGGGCUCAACCCGGGAACUGCGUCCGAUACUGGCAGGCUUGAAUCCGGGAGAGGGAUGUGGAAUUCCUGGUGUAGCGGUGGAAUGCGCAGAUAUCAGGAGGAACACCGAUAGCGAAGGCAGCUCGCUGGGACGGUACUGACGCUGAGGUGCGAAAGCGUGGGGAGCGAACAGG
RNAcentral lists this ribosomal RNA (253 nucleotides) under uncultured bacterium. RNAcentral describes it as "partial 16S ribosomal RNA". It matches the Rfam family "Bacterial small subunit ribosomal RNA", at positions 524 to 776 of the family's 1533-position model. The record is from RNAcentral.